RNAcentral lists this ribosomal RNA (473 nucleotides) under uncultured Candidatus Scalindua sp. RNAcentral's name for it is "bacterial SSU rRNA". It matches the Rfam family "Bacterial small subunit ribosomal RNA", at positions 365 to 828 of the family's 1533-position model. The record is from RNAcentral. Lineage: Bacteria; Pseudomonadati; Planctomycetota; Candidatus Brocadiia; Candidatus Brocadiales; Candidatus Scalinduaceae.
UUCGCAAUGCCCGAAAGGGUGACGAAGCGACGCCGCGUGGGUGAAGAAGGCCUUCGGGUUGUAAAACCCUGUCAGGAGUUAUGAAAUGUAAGUGCGCUAAUAUCGUGCUUAUUUGACAAAGGCUCCAAAGGAAGCCACGGCUAACUCUGUGCCAGCAGCCGCGGUAAUACAGAGGUGGCGAGCGUUGUUCGGAAUUAUUGGGCGUAAAGAGCACGUAGGUGGGUUUGCAAGUCAGAUGUGAAAGCCUUCUGUUCAACGGAAGAAUUGCAUCUGAAACUGCUAAUCUUGAGUAUAGGAGGGGAGAAUGGAACUUCUGGUGGAGCGGUGAAAUGCGUAGAUAUCAGAAGGAACGCCGGCGGCGAAAGCGAUUCUCUGGCCUAUUACCGACACUCAGUGUGCGAAAGCUAGGGGAGCAAACGGGAUUAGAUACCCCGGUAGUCCUAGCCGUAAACGAUGGGCACUAAGUAGAGGGG